GAAGGAGUGUAUGUUAAUAGCAUACAUUAUUGACGUUAAAUACAGAAGAAGCACCGGCUAACUCCGUGCCAGCAGCCGCGGUAAUACGGAGGUGCGAGCGUUAAUCGGAAUAACUGGGCGUAAAGCGCGCGUAGGCGGUAAAAUAAGUCUGAUGUGAAAGCCCCGCCGUCUACCGGAACGGGUGAUUGAACGUAGUUACUUGUAGACAGAGAGGAGAGUGAAGUUCAUGUGUGCGGUGAAGUAGCGCGAGAGAGUAUGGAGGACGACCACUGGGUGCGCGCGUCUCUGGUCUGGUAGUGUGGAGGCGAAGCAGCCAGGGAGUAGG
This 325-nucleotide ribosomal RNA is filed under the name uncultured bacterium. RNAcentral describes it as "bacterial SSU rRNA". It matches the Rfam family "Bacterial small subunit ribosomal RNA", at positions 444 to 776 of the family's 1533-position model. The record is from RNAcentral.